GUGCCACUGGAAUAUUCAUAGCUUGUGCACCGAUCUUUGGGUUGGUUCAUGGCCAACGUCCUGAUGCAAAGGGGUAUGGUCUGGACACGUGGCAUGCCAUGAUAAGUCGACGACGCGAAUUGAAGCAUAGCAAUUGGCCCCAGCCAUGUGCAAGGAAAGCAAAGUUGCAGCUCUUGGAAACAGAAGAAGCAAAUUACUGAUCUUAUUGCAGAAUGCUGAUCGGGUUAGCUAAUUGAGACCAUGGUAUUACUAUUUACUAGUGAUGUUCUCUGAAGAAAGUACACAGACCUUGAACACUGUGCUAAUUGUAGGCAUGAUGAGCCAUCUCUGCAUCUCAUCAUGUCAAUAGCACGUCUAUCCUGGCAUUUGAAAAAAAGGGUUUAUAGGUCCUGGUCUUAAUUAGUCCACACAUGUGAUCAUCAAUGGUGUUUGCUUUGGCAUGGAUGCUGAUUAGUCACUUUUACAGUUAUAUGUCUUGAAAGAUAAAGUGAAUCAAGAUACUUUUCCUC
This is a long non-coding RNA of Brachypodium distachyon (stiff brome), 509 nucleotides long. RefSeq lists it as uncharacterized. The record is from RefSeq and is a predicted model, not a curated record. The transcript has 2 exons. NCBI's taxonomy places the organism in Eukaryota, Viridiplantae, Streptophyta, Magnoliopsida, Poales, Poaceae.